RNAcentral lists this ribosomal RNA (339 nucleotides) under Panthera tigris altaica (Amur tiger). Its description in RNAcentral is "partial 12S ribosomal RNA". It matches the Rfam family "Bacterial small subunit ribosomal RNA", at positions 768 to 1261 of the family's 1533-position model. The record is from RNAcentral. Lineage: Eukaryota; Metazoa; Chordata; Mammalia; Carnivora; Felidae.
CAAACUGGGAUUAGAUACCCCACUAUGCUUAGCCCUAAACUAGAUAGUUACCCAAACAAAACUAUCCGCCAGAGAACUACUAGCAACAGCUUAAAACUCAAAGGACUUGGCGGUGCUUUAUAUCCCUCUAGAGGAGCCUGUUCCAUAAUCGAUAAACCCCGAUAAACCUCACCAUCUCUUGCUAAUUCAGCCUAUAUACCGCCAUCUUCAGCAAACCCUAAAAAGGAAGAAAAGUAAGCACAAGUAUCUUAACAUAAAAAAGUUAGGUCAAGGUGUAGCCCAUGAGAUGGGAAACUAAGGGGCUACUUUUUCUAUAACUAAAACAUCCACUAAAAUCCU